Molecule: long non-coding RNA, 782 nt
Filed under: Pan troglodytes (chimpanzee)
Lineage: Eukaryota; Metazoa; Chordata; Mammalia; Primates; Hominidae
Description: long non-coding RNA NONPTRT018344
Source: RNAcentral
ACUCACUGUGAAGGUGUGUGGCUUCACCCCUGAAGUCAGCGAGACCACGAACCCACUGGGAGGAAUGAACAACUCCGGACGUGUCACCUUUAAGAGCUGUAACACUCACUGCGAAGGUCUGCGGCUUCACUCCUGAAGUCCAGCGAGACCACGAACCCACUGGAAGGAAGAAACUCUGGACACAUCUGAAGGAACAAACUCCGAACACACUAUCUUUAAGAACUGUAACACUCACCACGAGGGUCCGCGGCUUCAUUCUUGAAGUCAGCGAGAUCAAGAACCCACCCGAAGGAACCAAUUCCGGACACAGGGUGGAGGAGGGGGUGAAGGUUAAUGUGCAAUUUCUAGAUGAGAAUGCCUGUGGCUUCUCUUAGCCACAUGCAAGUGAACAAGCACUGGCAGAGAGACAGAUGGCUUAGCUUGCCCAGAGCAGCCCCCGUGCUCUUAGGGAAGGAAAAGAGCCCACUUCACUUCACUUCAGUUCCUCCUUUCCCCAGCAAGAUCUGGCACAUUUCAGAAGUUGCUGACGUGUUGAUGCCUGCUAAAACACGACGUGGGAAGAAGAAUGAAUGUGGGCAAGCUCGGCUAGCCACUCAGAGGGAAAUGAUCUCAUUUCUCCUGCUGGGCAACCCCCAGUUGCUGGAUUGUCUUAAUGGCACUUAGAAAACCAGACUUACAUGGGAAAGUAAGUUAUCCAAGCAGACACCCAGAAUUGCUUGGCAUACUGUAUAACAACUGGCAAAUUAACCUUCUCACACUCGGAUAAUACUGCAGAAUUUAAG